Molecule: long non-coding RNA, 636 nt
Organism: Agelaius phoeniceus (red-winged blackbird)
Lineage: Eukaryota; Metazoa; Chordata; Aves; Passeriformes; Icteridae
Source: RefSeq, a predicted model, not a curated record
GCCUGCCUGCUCAUCCACCUCCUCCAGCCAUGGAUCUCCCGGAGCUCCAGGCACAGGGAGCAGCUCCUGGGCUGGGCUGGUCCAGCUGGUACUGUUAUCCUGGCAGGCUAAUAUUGGCUUUUAAGGGAAGAGAAACUCCAGGAAAAAUCAGGACUCGUUGGCAGGAUGGACCUUCUGUGAGAAAUCCCAGCCAGGGGUGCCAGGAUCACUCUGGAGCUGAAGUUUGGGAAGCAGUUUGGGCAAAUGAGGAGGUUGACCAGGAGGUUGCCACGUUCACUCCUUCCUUCCACCUCCACCACGUCCCUGGGCAGCCCCUUGCCAUGCCUGGCCACCCUUUCCAUGGAGAAAUUCCUGUUGAUGCUCCAGAGGAUGCUGCACUGGGCCUUCCAAGAGAUCCCUCUGCCAUUUGCAACACAUGUGCAGUUGAAUUUUGUCUGACUGUCAAUAAACCCACAGGACAUAAUUACACCCCAAAAUUCCCCAGACUUGAAAGCCUGACCGUCCCUGCCUUGUUCUCCACGAGCUGUAACUCAAUGUAAACCCCUCUGUCUCUCUCCAUUUUCCAGUUCUUUCAUUCAUUCCUGCUGAGUAAUUAAAAAUGGCUUCUAAAUAAACAGCGGGGAUGAUUUCCGAAAA